GGGAGUGUUCCCGAGUGGCCAAAGGGGGCAGACUGUAAAUCUGUUGGCGUACGCCUACGGUGGUUCGAAUCCACCCGCUCACACCA
RNAcentral lists this transfer RNA (86 nucleotides) under Eubacteriales bacterium. Its description in RNAcentral is "tRNA-Tyr". It matches the Rfam family "tRNA". From Rfam's summary of the family: Transfer RNA (tRNA) molecules are approximately 80 nucleotides in length. The record is from RNAcentral. Lineage: Bacteria; Bacillati; Bacillota; Clostridia; Eubacteriales.